Molecule: long non-coding RNA, 480 nt
Organism: Arachis stenosperma
Lineage: Eukaryota; Viridiplantae; Streptophyta; Magnoliopsida; Fabales; Fabaceae
Exons: 3
Source: RefSeq, a predicted model, not a curated record
CUUAGAGAGUGACAGUUGCAGCUGAAGUGAGAAGAGAGGAUGGGGUUUCAAAAAUACUAUUCACUCGUCACUUUCAGUGGCCAUAUCUCGAGCUACAGUGCUCCGAUUCGCGUGCCGUCAGCGACUACGCGAAGCUCUUUCCGAGCCUGUUACUUUCAUCUAACCUUCAUAGGUGCUAAUCAUUAGUGAGAAAAUGUUGGGUUAUAUCCCAAAUUUCAGUGAAUGAGCUUGAAUGUUGGAGCUUGUUGGUGAUUGUUGAUGCUUAUUGGAAUUGGUUGGUGACUUGGUUGUGGAUUGGAGGCUUGAAUUGUGCUCUAUUUGGGUUUUGGUACAUAUUGAGAAUCAACUAAGUUAUGAUUUUGGUUUUCUCUAUGUAAUAUAUAAUAUUUCUGGACACUUAGACUAGUGACCCAUAGGAUAGGUUUGAAUUGAAAUGGUUGUUGAAUUGUUGAACGAUGAUUUAUGAUGAAUUAUGAUGAA